Molecule: long non-coding RNA, 6118 nt
Filed under: Triticum aestivum (bread wheat)
Lineage: Eukaryota; Viridiplantae; Streptophyta; Magnoliopsida; Poales; Poaceae
Description: long non-coding RNA (TAES_LNC010522)
Source: RNAcentral
UUGCUCUGUUUUUUCGAGAAAGGGAGUAUAUUAAUAUCGCUAAGAUAUCAAUUACACCUGGCCUCUAUACCAUCAAAAUGUUCAGAAACGGGAAGGAUACACGCAGCUAAAAAAAAGAAAAAAAAACCUCGCCACGAUGAUCAGUCACUAGCAACAACAUCACUCUAACCACCACCAACGAUAACACCCGGCUUACAAAAAAGGUUAUCCAAAAGCAACGCCUUCAAGAAGGAAACAAUGAGCCAGCAUUAUCGUUACCUGAUCGAAGAUCUUGAGUUUUCACCCUGGAGAAAGUCCGAGUUCAGCCAAAAACAAUGUGUUCGACAAGGCCAUUGUUAGGUACAACCAAUGAAGACCGGACCUUUGGUUUUCCCCUGUGAAUUGAGACUCGGUACUUGAGGAGCACCAUCAAAAUUGCAGUCCUCCAGCGCUGCCAUCAUCGUUUGCCGAGACCGCUGUUGCAAGUCACCAAACACCUAGCACACAGACUUCAGCGCAUCCAGUACACCUUUCCGCCAAACGCUUCAAGACCUCCAAUCGCAGCCGCCGUGACUUUCUCCACCUCUAUCAGUGCCUUGAGAAUUUUGACUUAGACAUGUCCCAUGAAUCUGAUAAGAAAGUGAAGCUUCGCGUCACGCCUUUUUGAAGCCGUGCUUGCUGAUAAUAUGAGCGCGCACGACCGGAGCCUUUCCGAUCUAGAAAUUCAGGGGCGGCAUAGGCCAAUCCAUAUAGUUCUCUGACACUGGAACGCGUCCGCAGCCAGAUCGAAGAGGUCAACGUCCGGCAGAAAGACGCCAUGGCUGACGAAGAUUGCUAGGGCCGCCUCCCCAGAUCCAGAAAACCAUGCUCACCCGCCUUCGAAGAAAACGAGCAGCUCCACAUGAGGCCGGUCGCUACAGCCACCACACCGAGCACCACUCCGAAACCCCACCCUUACAGACCCCAUGGCCCCAAUCCCUGGAUCUGGCCAUUCCCCACGAGGAACGACUCACCGGACGGGGUAGUAACAAGCAGUGGCUACGCAUGCACUCCGUGCCGGCUGGCGGCAGGAGGCAAGGCCCCAAUCCGCGGGACGUCGCCAGGAUGAGAUCUAGCGGCGGCGACCUUCACGACUCGAGCCACCGGGAACAAAGCGGACAAGCAGAGGGAGGAAGGGCGGGGAGGGAAGGAGCAGGAGGUGGAGGAACUCCCGCCGCCGCCGUGGGCCGGCCAGAGGCCACCGGCGACGACGGCGAGGGAAGGUGAGGAUGGAGGCGGCGCUCGGGAGGAAAACCUGAUCGCCCCGCGAGUCCAAGUGCAAAGGGCUCCAACUUGCUUUGCUGCAUCAUUAACACAUAUCCGUUGAAAAUUAAAGGAUAAAGUUAUACGGUUCCAGUCUGAAAUUAAAGGUAUGGUUCACGGUUUAUGUGAAAAUUUAUUCACCUCUGAAUCUGGUUUGUUUGCUAAUGCUAUUCUCGGAGCCAUACCUCGUAAGUUUUGGAUGAAAUGAAUGAAGAUCUUUGCAAACUUACACUAAUGAGGAAAUCAAGAUGGCUUUAUUUCAAAUGGGACCAACCAAAGCUCCAGGACCGGAUAGUUUGCCUGCCCUGUUUUAUCAAACCCAUUGGAGCUUUUUGGAUGAUGAUAUUUUCCAUGCCGUGCGAAGUUUUUUGGAGGGAGGGCCUAUCCCAGAGGGAUUUUGUGAUUCGGUGAUUGUCGUGAUUCCAAAGAUUGCCAGACCGAAACAUUUGAAGAAUUUUCGUCCUAUCAGUUUGUGCAUAGUCUUGUAAAAGAUUGCUUCCAAAAUUUUAGCCAACCGCCUGAAGGUGAUUCUUGGUAUUGUGGUAUCUGAAUUCCAAAGUGCUUUUGUGCCAGGUAGACUGAUUACUGACAAUACUUGGAUUGUUUAUGAGUGUGUGCGCACUUUUAGAAAACGACAUUCGAAGCAACCUUUCUUUGCCUUGAAGAUUGACAUGAUGAAAGCCUAUGAUCGUGUGGAAUGGACUUAUCUUCAUGGUUGUUUAAGCACGCUUGGCUUUGCUCCUAUUUGGAUUGAAUCUAUCAUGAGAUGCGUAACCAAGGUCCGGUAUGCUGUUAGAGUUAAUGCUGAACUUACCGAUCCCGUUGUUCCUUCAAGGGGCAUCCGUCAGGGGGACCCCAUCAGUCCCUACUUGUUUCUUUUGUGCACCGAAGGCUUGUCGAGUUUGUUACUACAGAAGGAGACUUGUGGCGAGCUACAUGGUAUUCAAAAUGGCCGCUCUGGUCCACUUAUCUCACAUCUUCUGUUUGCCGAUGACAACAUUUUCUUUGCCAAAAGUGGCAAUCGUAGUGUGGCUACUUUGGAAUCUACUCUGCAUUUAUAUUGUGAAGGAUCGGGGCAACUUAUUAAUAACAAGUCCUCAAUCUUUUUUGAGAAGCAUUGUCUUGAUGUUGUGAAACAUCGUGUUAUGGCCAUGCUGGGUAUCAAUAAUGAAACUUUUCAUGACUCAUAUCUUGGAAUGCUUACUGAGUGGAGCGGUCUCCUAUCAACAUUGUCAAAUUCCUUCCUGAUAGAGCAUUUUCAAAUUCCUAUCAACAUUGGCUCGUAUUGGGCCAGCCAGUAGCACAACACCAGAGGGCGAGACGGAACAAAUAGGGUUGACGCUUGCACAAAUGCUAAUUCUUCUCAUUGUUAGCAUAAGCCCAUGCUCUUCUACAAGGCACUCCAACAUGUGGUGGCCGAAAAGCCGGUAGCAGUCCAUUUUUUGUUUUUGUUUUUUUGGAUUUGAUUUUUAUUGCACAUUUUUUCUUUUUCUUCAUAGCCGAUUUUUGUCAGGUUUCUAAGCUCUUUUUUUGGUUCAACUUUCUUUGUUUUCCCCAUAUUUCCUAUUCCAUAUUAAUUUUAUGUUAAUUUUUAUUUUCUAUUGACCGUCUCCUUUUAAUGGAAACUAUAAAAAUAUUCUUAAUAAAACACACAAGUAUUUUUAACACGAGGGAACACUAUUUUAAAUUGGAUGAUUUUUACAGAUGCAUUUUAUAAAUAUAAUUACAAUAAGUGAAAACAAUUAAGUACAUGAAUUUAUAUGAAAUGGGUCCAUAUUUGUUCAAUUACAUGAACAUAUUUUCAGGUACAUGAAUAAUUUAUACAAAUGCAUCAACACAUUUUAAAUUACUAAAAAAUAGAUAAUAGGUGUGAACACUUUCUUAAAUGACUUGAAUAUUUUAAUAAACAUAUAUUGACAGUUUUAUUUACCUAAACAUUCUAGAAAAUAAAUGAAUAAAAUUUAAAAUUACAUGAUCAUUUUGGGAAAUAUGAUUCAAAAAUGAAAUGAACAAUUGAAAAAAGCACAUGAAGAAUUUGAAAAAUACAUGAACAGUUUCUUCCACUACAUUAUAUUUUUUUCUAAUAUGUGAGAAUAUUUUAUAAGAUAAUUUUUUAUUUUUUAAUUCCAAAAAAUAAAAAGUAAAAAAGACCCUUUGUUUUUCUUUGCCACGCCUAUUUGCAUCCAUGUAAGCCGUUGUGACAAACGCCCACUUACGAGGGGAUAUAUAGAUGUACCCUUGCUUCUGUUUUAUCCUUAUGCAAGUAGUAGGCAAAUCCGCGGUCAGUGCAUUAUGAAAAUGUGCAUAAUUGGAAGAAAAUCGAUAGGAACCUACAAAAUGGGAACUCGAUAAGAACUACAGGAAACAAGAGAAAGAGAAAAUAGGCAAGAAACUGAUGGCUGCAGUGUGUUCCAUUGCCCAAAAACAGAAACAAAAAUAACUAAAUAUCUGGUCAAUAGUGAUGGGGUCUUUCUUUUACCCUUUCGCUUGGAACAAUGAUGAAUCCUACUCGCUGCUCAUUUUGGCAGAUUAUCGGCUGCUCACACAGGUGAUGGCCCCGAGUGACAAAGAGAUGGGCUAGUCCACUUUGAGAAUUUAUACAAUGCGAGCCAACCGGUUUUGCUAGAAGGCUCCCUGAAUUGAUGUUCUUUUUUCUUUUUGUCUUCUUUACUUGUUUUUUAGUUUUCAGUUUUUAAGUUUUUUUUCUUUCAAAUUUUCAAAAAUGAUUUCAGAAAAAAAAUCAAAAUAUUUAAUUUUUUGGCCAAAUUUCAAAGAAUUAUCGUUUUAAAAAACCAUUUCUUUAAAAAAUAUUCUUUUUUACAAAAUAUGUCCGGAAUUUCAAAAAAUAUUGGCCUUUUUUUCUCAAUAUUUCAUAAAAUCUUAGCAUUUCUUGAAUAAUUUUGAGAAUUUGUUUUUUUUUCAAAAAAGGAUUUUUCUAAAAAAAGUAUCCUUUUGUCUAAAAGAUGUUAGAAACUUUACAAAUUAUUCUCAUUUAAAAAAUAUUUAAAUUUUCUAAAAAUGUUCGUGGUUCCAAGAAAGUUUUCAAAACAAUAUUCACUUGUUAAAUAUAUUUUUCAAUGUUCUUUGGAAAAAAUCAAGGGAAUAAAAGAUGGUACAGUACCAAAUUGGUUGUAGUAACCACAUACUCGCGCUACAGUACCCCCGACCAGAAACAGUAAACGUGUGGCUAGGGAUCAAACGUUUAAAAUCUGACAUUAUAUUUUUUAGCAUGGCAAAUCAAACUUUUUAUGGCAAAUGAAGUUGCCGUGUGGAUAGCAAUUUUCUGUAGCAAAUCCUGGCAAAAACUGAGCAUGGCAAAAUAAAUUUCCAUCCUUGCGACAACUUUAUUUGUCGCAAAAAAUGUUUGAUUUGCCAUGCUAAAAAAUCUGGUUCGAUUUGAAGCGGAAUACUUUUUUUUAAGCAUCAGAUGUCUAUGGAGAGUCUUUUGGCAUUUUACCGAUAUUAAUAAAUAUACGGGUCACAUAUGACAUUAUUCCAAGAUAUACAUUCGUAUCGAUAGUAGGCACGCUCUUCGUUUGGUUUCACCAGCUUAAUCACAAUCUCAGAAGGCAGCAUAUGGAGUACUACCUCUAUUUAUUUUUAUAAGACGUUUUAGACUUUCAAACACUGUUUAAAAACAGCACAAAGCAAGUUGUCUGAACGUCUUAUAAAAACAAACGGAGGGAGUAGAAUAAUAUCGCCAUGGCAUGGCACAAGAUGGAGAUCACGAGAUAUCUUAAGAAAACCCUGCUAAUCAGAGCAACAGUACAAAGGUUAACUUUAUGCGCCCGAUUCUAGGAAAUGGGGCACAUGCCCACGAUCAGGACGUAUGAUUCUGCUGCACCAACAAUUAUUGGCCUUAUAUAGUUCGGCGAGCGUUCGAGUAUGAUUGUUGUACUGGUACGUACUCUCUGGGUUGGUUUGCAAUUUUUUACAUUUUGGAAAAUGGGUUCCAAUUUCAACUUGCUGUGCUUUUUCGAGAAAAUGAAUAGAUUAAUAUCAUGAAGAUAUCAAUUACACCCGGUCUUUGUAUCAACAAGAUGCCCAAAAACAUCAAGAAUACACACAACCAAAAAAGAAAAUAAAGAAGAAGAAGAAGAAGAAGAAGAAAGCCCCGUCAUAAUGAUCAGUCACUAGCAACAACAACACUCUAACCACCACCAAAGACAACACCUGGCUUACAAAAGAGGUUAUCCAAAAACAACGCCUCCAAGAAGAAAACAAUGCACCAGCAUUAUCGUUACCUAAUCAAAGAUCUUGAGUUUUCACUCUGGAGAAAGUCCGAGUUCACCCAAAACCAAUGUUUUGACAAAGCCAUUGCCAGGUAUAACCAAUGAAGGCGGACCUUAGGUUUUCACCCUGUGAAUCGAGACUCGGUACUUGAGGAGCACCACCAAAAUUGUAGUCCUCCAGUGCUGCCACCUUCGUUUGCCAAGACCGUUGUUGCAAGUCACCAAACACCUAGCGCACAAUCUUCACCGCAUCCAGUACACCUUUCCGCCAAGCUUCAAGACCUCCAAUUGCACCCGCCAUGACUUUCUUCACCUCUAUCAAUGCCUUGAGAAUCUUGACUUAGACAUAUCCCAUGACUCUAAUAAGAAAGCGAAGCUUCGUGUCGCAGCCUUUUGAAGUCGUGCUAGCUGAUAAUAUGAGUGCACAUGACCGGAGCCUUUCCGAUCUAGAAAUUCGGUGGUGACAUACGCCAAUCCAUAUAGAUCUUUGACGGGGAAGAUCGGAACGCGUCUGCAGCCAGAUCGAAGAGGUCAACGUCUGGCAGAAAGACGCCAUGGCAGACGAAGAUUGCUAGGGCCGCCGCCCCAGAUCUAGAGAACCACGC